This 8467-nucleotide long non-coding RNA is filed under the name Manihot esculenta (cassava). RNAcentral describes it as "long non-coding RNA (MESC_LNC008554)". Lineage: Eukaryota; Viridiplantae; Streptophyta; Magnoliopsida; Malpighiales; Euphorbiaceae. The record is from RNAcentral.
AACAAUAACAUAAUAUCAGGAAUUAAAUCAGAAACUAAACACUUAUGAUUUUAUAAUCACAUCUUAACAUGCCCUCUUGAUUCAAAAUCACUAAUAUCCAAUUGUUGACCAAAAUAAGUAUGUUUUGGCUGAGACAAUGACUUAGUGAAUAAGUUUGCAACUUGAUCAUUAGUACCACAAAAUUUCAACUCUAUUUCUCCAUUUGCAACCAACCUUCGAAUAAAAUGGUGCCAAAUCUCAAUAUGCUUUGUUCUGCUGUGGAAAGCUGGGUUUUUUGUCAUUGCUAUUGUACCUUUGUUAUCACAAUAAAUUUUAGUUGUUGCCACUUGCUCUUGAUCCAAGUCAGCCAAAACUCGCCUAAGCCACACAGCUUGAUAUGCUAUAGAAGUUGCAGCAAUAUAUUCUGCUUCUGAAGAUGACAAAGCUACAGUAUCCUGCUUCUUUGAGCUCUAUGAGAUGGCACCUGAACCAAGACUGAAAGUAUAACCUGAUGUACUCUUUCUAUCAUCUAAAGAACAUGCCCAAUCACUAUCAGUAUAGCCAAAUAAUUUGAAAUUUGAUAUGGUGGUAUACCAAAUUCCAAAAUUAACAGUUCCAGCAACAUAUCACAAUACCUUUUUUGCUGCUCCAAGAUGAUACUUUGUUGGACUGUGCAUGAACCUGGAUACGACACUAACAGAAAAGGCGAUAUCAGGUCGUGUAUGAGACAAAUAGUUCAGUCCACCAACCAUCCUCCGAAAAUAAGUUACAUCAGCCUUCUCUGUCCCAUCUUCAGCUUGUAAUUUUUCAUUCAAAUUCAUUGGAGUUACAGCCACAUUGCAUUUUGCCAUGCUAAAUUUCUUAAGCAAAUCAUUUGUAUAUUUUUGUUGUCCAAUAAAUAUCUCAUCUGCAUAUUGUUUCACCUCAAGCCCAAGAAAAUAUUGUAAUAACCCCAAAUCUGUCAUCUCAAAAUUUGUCAUCAUAGAAGACUUAAAAUCAGUAAUAAGACAAUUAUUGGAUCCAAAAUAAAUCAUGUCAUCAACAUAAACACAACAACCAGACAUCCAGCUUUGCCUUCUCUUUUCAAGUAUAAAGUGGGCUCAUUUUCACUUUUAACAAAAUCAUUUUCACAAAAAUAGCUAUCAAUUUUACUAUACCAGGCUCGCGGUGCUUGCUUAAGCCUGUAGAGAGCUUUUCUCAAUCUGAAAACUUUAUCCUUAUGACCUUUUUCAACAAAGCCCUCAGGUUGAGGAACAUAAACUUCUUCCUCUAAAUCUCCGUUCAAGAAGGCAGACUUCACAUCAAAUUGAAAGACAGGAAGGGAUAAUUGAGCAGCUAAAGCAAGCAAUAAUCUUACACUUUCAAGGCGAGCGACGGGUGAGAAUGUUUCUUGACGCGGAACCCUAUGGCACAAGCCUCAAACCCACACGCACAAGCAGAUAUGGAAUCCAAAGAUCUGAUAAACCUACCUCCUAUGGCACCCCAAACUUAGAGAAGCUGAAACACCAAUGAUCGAAGGAUUUAGAUGAGAAUCUGACAAACGCCACAACAAAUAGUUGAUAAGUAAGCCAAGAUUCCUGGUGCAAUUGAUGAAAGCAAAUCCUCACUCUCACUCAAAGCAAUACACGCCAAAGGCAUGAGAAGAAUUCUGAAAUUUUGAUUAAAAGCUACCUCUUACAAUUGUUUCUUAUCCUUAUAUAGUAAGGAGAAAAAGAAAUAAAACCCUAAGACACUCUUCUUGGGCCUGACUUAAACACAUAAGACCCAAGCCCAAUCACACACUAAAAUAACAUAUAAGUAUUAAAAUAUAAGCCCACAACAUGGCCCAACACUCUAAAACUUAAAAGAUAAAAUAUGGCCAGAAUACAAGCCCAAACAAAACUAAAAUAAAACAAGUGUUUAAAUAAUAAAACUAGCAAGCCCAUCAUAACAAAGUUGAAUCUUCACAAAAGCCUUACUUGAUCUUCACUUUAGGCUUUCCUUUAUGUAGUUUUAGCCCAUAGGUUUGAUUAGGCUCCCUCAGCCUAUGAUUGCAAAUGUUGCACCAAAUCUGUCCCAUAUGAGUUAAAGCACGCCCUAAGUAUAUAUGGAUUAUAUGAAUAUGAUUUUGAACUACUCUUGGGUCCAUUGGAAUGAUAUAAGUUUGCUCCACACUAUUGUUAGAAAUUUGUCCUAUUGGAUCCGUAUCAUUUCUUCAUAGUCGAUACUUCGUUGUUGGGCAUAUCCCUUUGCUACAAGUCGUGCUUUAUGCUUUUGCACACUCCCAUCAGCAUGAUACUUGGUUCUGAAAAUCCAUUUGAGACCAAGAACAUUCUUUCCUUUCGGUAAAUCAACCAACUCCCAAGUUUGAUUUUUCUGAAUUGAAGCCAUUUCUUCUUUCAUAGCAAUUUUCCAUUCUUCCAUUGUUGCUGCCUCCUUAUAGAAAAUUGGAUCUAAAACAUUCAAAGCAAAAGAAAAAGUUUCAUAUAUUUCUUUUAAUGAUUGGAUCUUUCUCGGAGAAGUUUCAGAUGAUGAAGAACUUGUGCUGAUUGGACUGGAAGAUUUUGUGCUGGCUUGACUUAAUGAGUUGCUACUUGCUGAAUUUGAUGAUGAAAAAUCAGCAACAUCAUUUGAUGGUGAAGAAUCAGCAACAACAUUUGAUGGUGAAGAAUUAGUAGGUUCACAAAAAUCAGCAGCUUCAUUCUCUAUCACUGGAGCUUGGUCUGACUUCAUAAAUUUUGUCCAAUCCCAUCUUGCAUCUUGAUUAAAAAUCACAUUUCUGCUAACAAUAAUUUUGCCACUUAAAGGGUUAUAUAGCCUAUAUGCUUUAGAUUGAGUGCAAUAGCCAACAAAAAUGCAUUUUUUAGAUUUUUCAUCAAGUUUGUGGUGAGAAUUAACUAAAGCAUAUGCUAUACAACCAAAAAUUCUUAAAUGACUUACACGUGGUUUUCUACCUCUCCAUGCUUCAUAUGGUGUUUCAUUCAUGACAGCCCUUGUUGGAGAAAUAUUCAAAAGAUACACUGCAGUUGCGACAGCUUCAGCCCAGAAAGAAUUCGGAAGGCCUUUGACUUUGAGUAAGCUUCUGGCCAUCUCCAUAACAGUUCGAUUCUUCCGCUCGACAAUACCAUUCUGCUCUGGUGUGUAUGGUGCAGUAAGCUCCCUGUGAAUGCCAUUUUCUUCACAAAAAACAUUAAACUCAAUAGAAUUAAAUUCACCACCUCUGUCAGUCCGGAGACAUUUGAUACUACUAUCAUGUUGAUUUUCUACCACUCUUUUAAAUUUCUUGAAAGUGACAAGGGCUUCAGAUUUACACUUCAAGAAAUAAACCCAGUUCAUACGGCUAUAGUCAUCAAUCAGCAAAAAGAAAUACCAACUACCACCAAAAGAUUCAGUUUGCAUGGGUCCACAUAAAUCCGCAUGUAUCAAUUCAAGACAACCAUUAGCUCUCCAUGACUUUCCUACGGGAAAUGACUUCUUACUUUGUUUACCCAAAACACAUCCCUCACAAAAAUCAAUAGAUCCAAUAUUGGGUAAUCCAUUAACCAUAUUUUGUUGACUCAACAACUUCAACCCUAUUUCAUGCAAAUAUCCAUAACGUAAAUGCCAUAAAGUAGAUUCAGCAAUUUUAUUGACAGCAAGAGCACCAUUUUCAAUGGAAGCAUCCAAUGGAAACAUUUUGUUUUGAGCCAUUGGAACAUUAACAAUGGUAAGACCCGUUUUCUUGUCCAUAAUGCUACAUAAGUUAUCAUCAAAUACGAUUUUAUAUCCACUAGUCAUCAAUUGCCCAAUACUUAAUAGAUUAUAAGCCAGACUAGGAGCAUAUUGCACAUCAUUUAAGAGUUUGGUUUUGCCGUGACAGGUAUUGAUGGCAGAGGUGGUGAAUUUAAUUCUAUUGAGUUCAAUGUUUUUUGAGAAGAAAAUGGCAUUCACAGGGAGCUUACUACACCAUACACACCAGAGCAGAAUGGUAUUGUCGAGCGGAACAAUCGAACUGUUCUGGAGAUGGCCAGAAGCUUACUCAAAGUCAAAGGCCUUCCGAAUUCUUUCUGGGCUGAAGCUGUCGCAACUGCAGUGUAUCUUUUGAAUAUUUCUCCAACAAGGGCUGUCAUGAAUGAAACACCAUAUGAAGCAUGGAGAGGUAGAAAACCACGUGUAGGUCAUUUAAGAAUUUUUGGUUGUAUAGCUUAUGCUUUAGUUAAUUCUCACCACAAACUUGAUGAAAAAUCUAAAAAAUGCAUUUUUGUUGGCUAUUGCACUAAAUCUAAAGCAUAUAGGCUAUAUAACCCUUUAAGUGGCAAAAUUAUUGUUAGCAGAAAUGUGGUUUUUAAUGAAGAUGCAAGAUGGGAUUGGACAAAAUUUAUGAAGUCAGACCAAGCUCCAGUGAUAGAGAAUGAAGCUGUUGAUUUUUGUGAACCUACUGAUUCUUCACCAUCAAAUGAUGUUGCUGAUUCUUCACCAUCAAAUGAUGUUGCUGAUUUUUCAUCAUCAAAUUCAGUACAUAGCAACUCAUUAAGUCCAGCCAGCACAAAAUCUUCCAGUCCAAUCAGCACAAGUUCUUCAUCAUCUGAAACUUCUUCGAGAAAGAUCUGAUCCUUAAAAGAAAUAUAUGAAACUUGUUCUUUUGCUUUGAAUGUUUCAGAUCCAAUUUUCUAUAAGGAGGCAGCAACAAUGGAAGAAUGGAAAAUUGCUAUGAAUGAAGAAAUGGCUUCAAUUCAGAAAAAUCAAACUUAGGAGUUGGUUGAUUUACUGAAAGGAAAGAAUGUUAUUGGUCUCAAAUGGAUUUUCAGAACCAAGUAUCAUGCUGAUGGGAGUGUGCAAAAGCAUAAAGCACGACUUGUAGCAAAGGGAUAUGCCCAACAUCGAGGUAUCGACUAUGAAGAAACAUUCUCACCAGUCGCUCGCCUUGAAACUGUAAGAUUAUUGCUUGCUUUAGCUGCUCAAUUAUCCAUUCCUGUCUUUCAAUUUGAUGUGAAGUCUGCCUUCUUGAACGGAGAUUUAGAGGAAGAAGUUUAUGUUUCUCAACCUGAGGGCUUUGUUGAAAAAGGUCAUAAGGAUAAAGUUUUCAGAUUGAGAAAAGCUCUCUACGGGCUUAAGCAAGCACUGCGAGCCUAGUAUAGUAAAAUUGAUAGCUAUUUUUGUGAAAAUAAUUUUAUUAAAAGUGAAAAUGAGCCCACUUUAUACUUGAAAAGAGAAGGCAAAGCUGGAUUUCUGGUUGUGUGUGUUUAUAUUGAUGACAUGAUUUAUUUUGGGUCCAAUAAUUGUCUUAUUACUGAUUUUAAUAAAGUCUUCUAUGAUGAGAAAUUUUGAGAUGACAGAUUUGGGAUUAUUACAAUAUUUUCUUGGGCUUGAGGUGAAACGAUAUGCAGAUGGGAUAUUUGUUGGACAACAAAAAUAUACAAAUGAUUUGCUUAAGAAAUUUAGCAUGGCAAAAUGCAAUGUGACUGCAACUCCAAUGAAUUUCAAUGAAAAAUUACAAGCUGAAGAUGGGACAGAGAAGGCUGAUGUAACUUAUUUUCGGAGGAUGGUUGGUGGACUGAACUAUUUGUCUCAUACACGACCUGAUAUCGCCUUUUCUGUUAGUGUCUUAUCCAGGUUCAUACAUAGUCCAACAAAGCAUCAUCUUGGAGCAGCAAAAAGGGUAUUGCGAUAUGUUGCUGGAACCGUUAAUUUUGGAAUUUGGUAUAUCACCGUAUCAAAUUUCAAAUUAUUUGGCUACACUGAUAGUGAUUAGGCAGGUUCUUUAGAUGAUAGAAAUAGUACAUCAAGUUAUACUUUCAGUCUUGGUUCAGGUGCCAUCUCAUGGAGCUCAAAGAAGCAAGAUACUAUCGCUUUGUCAUCUUUAGAAGCAGAAUAUAUUGCUACAACUUCUGCAGCAUGUCAAGCUGUGUGGCUUAGGCGAGUUUUGGCUGACUUGGAUCAAGAGCAAGUGGCAACAACUAAAAUUUAUUGUGAUAACAAAGGUACAAUAGCAAUGACAAAAAAUCCAGCUUUCCACAGCAGAACAAAGCACAUUGAGAUUUGGCACCAUUUUAUUCGAAGGUUGGUUGCAAAUGGAGAAAUAGAGCUGGAAUUUUGUGGUACUAAUGAUCAAGUUGCAGACUUAUUCACUAAGUCAUUGUCUCAGCCAAAACAUACUUAUUUUGGUCAACAAUUGGGUAUCAGUGAUUUUGAAUCAAGAGGGCAUGUUAAGAUGUGAUUACAAAAUCAUAAGUGUUUAGUUUCUAAUUUAAUUCCUGAUAUUAUGUUAUUGUUAGUAGUGGAAAAUAAAAUCAUAUCUGCUGCAGAUUAGUUGCAGAUUUUUUAGGCCAUUUAGUUAUGUUCAGUUUACUUUGUAAUGCCUAUAAAAGGCUUUGUUUUCUUUUCUUUGAUAGAAUAAAAUAGAGAUCCACUUUCUCUCUUAGAGAUUCACUUCCUCUCUUUUGUUUCUGUUUCCCUAUUAUAUUUAUCAGCACCAACUUGUCAUCACCUAGCCGAACUGUUGAUUUCUCUUUCUCAUCAAGCUCUUUAAACAAUUGCUUUGUACCUGACAUGUGAUUAGAACACCCACUAUUCAAGAACCAAACAGCAUUAGCAUGGAUAGCAAUUUUAUCAAUAGCAUGAGCCAUAAAUAGCAUACUCUCUUCUGGUUCCUCUUCUUCUUCAGCAACAUUGGCAUGCUUUCCUUCAUUCUUUUGCUUUUCUUCAUCCCUUUUCUUGGCCAAACAAUCAGCUUCUCUAUGGCUUGGUCUAUCACAAUACCAGCAUUUGAUUACAUAACUUUCAUACUGUCGCUGUUCUCCAGAACGACCUCCUCUUCCACGGCAGCUACUGCCGCGAUCCCGACCAUGAUAACCAGCACGAUAACCACUGUGAGAGGAUUCUCCUUUCACUUGAAAUGCCUUUUCUUCAAUUCUCACUAAUGAUUUAUUUAUCCCUCCUUCAUGAGCUUGUAAAGAACCCAAUAAAUCAUCAAAAGAAUAAGAAGAUAAGUCUUUAGACUCUUUUAUUGCAGCAACCACAUUAUCAAAUUUAGGAGUCAGACUCCUCAACAAUUUUAAAACCACAGUCUCAUCAGUAAUUUUUUCACCAUAUGCUUUCAUUUGAGAGACAAUUUUAGAAGCUCUUGAUAAAUAUGCAUGAACAGACUCAAAAUCACUCAUUUGAAGCGUUUCAAAUGAUGGACGAAGAGAUUGAAGUUUCACAGUGAUUACCUCUGAGCAACCUUGAAAUUCAGUUUUUAGAAUCUGCCAUGCUUCCUUAGAAGUUUUCGCUGCUGAAAUACCCGAAAAAAUCUCUUCUGAUACAGCUUGUUGGAGGAAGAACAGAGCUUUUGCAUCUCUCUUUCUAUUGUCUUUUAGCUUUUUCUCAUCAUCUGAGUCGUCGUACCCGGUCUCAACUAGCUCCCACAAUUCCUGCGAAAUAAACAUGGUUCGCAUUUUUAUGGCCCAAAAUUCAUAAUUAUUUCAGUUGAAGAAAGGAAUUAAAGGUUGGGUGGAAGUAGCAGUGCCAUUUACCGCCAUUUGAAAGGUUUGCGUGAACCACUCUUAUCUUUUUUUUUUCUCUCUCUCCACUUUACCCAAAUAGUGGCUCGGAUACCAAAAUAUGUUGGUGCUUAUAAAGAUAAUACGGAAACAGAAACAAAAGAGAGGAAGUGGAUCUCUAAGAGAGAAAGUGGAUCUCUGUUUUAUUCUAUCAAAGAAAAGAAAACAAAGGCUUUCAUAGGCAUUACAAAGUAAACUGAACAUAACUAAAUGGCCUAAAAAAUCUGCAACUAAUCUGCAGCAGAUAUGAUUUUAUUUGCCACUACUAACAAUAACAUAAUAUCAGGAAUUAAAUCAGAAACUAAACACUUAUGAUUUUGUAAUCACAUCUUAACAUGGUCGACCCUCUGAAAAACAUGAAUAUGAGGCACAAUAAAUAAUCGUCAGAGGAUCUUCAACAAGUUUGUAUCAGAUAAAUACAUUGAAGGUGCUAGGCUAAACUAGGGAGGAAGGAGGCAGAGCUCUAGCCAUCUCAUUCUCCUCUAGGUGUUUGAAGGACAGGGAGCAGUAGAUCGACUCCGUGGGUGUCUUCGAGAGUACCAUUCUUUCACUGAAAAGCAUAAAUUACAGGUUGAAGCUUCCACUUGUUAAUCGUAUCCUGCAUGCAAAAACUAAGACACAAAGCAACAAACAGCACACAAACAUAGAUCAAAAGAAGGUUAGAGCAUAGUAUGGGAAGCAAAACAGUAGAUCGAAAAAUCCCUCUCGUUCUAAGCAUCAGAUCUACGAAAAAAAAAAAAGAAAGAAAAAAACAUACUAUUUACAACUCACCCAGAAGUGAGGAGGGAACUCACGAUCCAAGUGGGGAAAGAGAAACCUUCCCCUGCCUAGCGGGAAAAACAAAAGCCACAAAUUAGCAAAAGAAGAAACCUAGUUCAAUGAGAGAGAGAUGCGCAUUUCAUUUAACGUGAACAUGUAUAUGUACACAGUUAGCUGCAACUGCUCAACUAAUAUUACCAAUCAGCAAGUGCCAGCACAUCUUCUUAACA